This 500-nucleotide ribosomal RNA is filed under the name uncultured bacterium. Its description in RNAcentral is "partial 16S ribosomal RNA". It matches the Rfam family "Bacterial small subunit ribosomal RNA", at positions 28 to 523 of the family's 1533-position model. The record is from RNAcentral.
GAUUAACGCUAGCGGCAGGCAUAAUACAUGCAAGUUGAACGAGAUAAGUUUUAGCAAUAGAACUUUGAAAGUGGCGCACGGGUGCGUAACACGUAUGCAACCUACCUUUUACUGGGGAAUAGCCUCUCGACAGAGAGAUUAAUACCCCAUAAUAUAUUGAUAAGGCAUCUUAUUAAUAUUAAAGUUACGUCGGGAAAAGAUGGGCAUGCGGGUGAUUAGGUAGUUGGUGAGGUAAUGGCUCACCAAGCCGACGAUCAGGAGGGGGUCUGAGAGGAUGUCCCCCCAACCUGGUACUGAGACACGGACCAGACUCCUACGGGAGGCAGCAGUAGGGAAUAUUGGACAAUGGGCGCAAGCCUGAUCCAGCCAUGCCGCGUGCAGGAUGAAGGCCCUGUGGGUCGUAAACUGCUUUUGUACGGGAAGAAACCUCACUACGUGUAGUGAGUUGACGGUACCGUGAGAAUAAGGAUCGGCUAACUUCGUGCCAGCCGCCGCCGUAA